This 376-nucleotide ribosomal RNA is filed under the name uncultured bacterium. RNAcentral describes it as "bacterial SSU rRNA". It matches the Rfam family "Bacterial small subunit ribosomal RNA", at positions 524 to 898 of the family's 1533-position model. The record is from RNAcentral.
UACAGAGACUGCAAGCGUUAUUCGGAUUCACUGGGCGUAAAGGGUGCGCAGGCGGCCGUGUGUGUUAGGUGUGAAAGCCCGGGGCUUAACCCCGGAAUUGCGCCUAAAACUACAUGGCUAGAGCAUUGGAGAGGGUAGCGGAAUUCACGGUGUAGCAGUGAAAUGCGUAGAUAUCGUGAGGAACACCAGAGGCGAAGGCGGCUACCUGGACAAUUGCUGACGCUCAGGCACGAAAGCGUGGGGAGCAAAAGGGAUUAGAUACCCCUGUAGUCCACGCCCUAAACGGUGCACACUAGGUCUUAGCGGAUUCGAUCCCGCUAGGGCCCAAGCUAACGCGUUAAGUGUGCCGCCUGAGGACUACGGUCGCAAGACUAAA